RNAcentral lists this ribosomal RNA (176 nucleotides) under uncultured bacterium. RNAcentral describes it as "partial 16S ribosomal RNA". It matches the Rfam family "Bacterial small subunit ribosomal RNA", at positions 338 to 528 of the family's 1533-position model. The record is from RNAcentral.
AUUACGGGAGGCAGCAGUGGGGAAUAUUGGACAAUGGGCCACAAGCCUGAUCCAGCAAUUCUGUGUGCACGAUGAAGGUCUUCGGAUUGUAAAGUGCUUUCAGUUGGGAAGAAGAAAGUGACGGUACCAACAGAAGAAGCGACGGCUAAAUAUGUGCCAGCAGCCGCGGUAAUAAU